Molecule: ribosomal RNA, 253 nt
Filed under: uncultured bacterium
Lineage: Bacteria
Description: partial 16S ribosomal RNA
Rfam family: Bacterial small subunit ribosomal RNA
Source: RNAcentral
UACGUAGGGGGCUAGCGUUGUCCGGAAUCAUUGGGCGUAAAGAGCGUGUAGGCGGUCCGGUAAGUCCGCUGUGAAAGUCGGGGGCUCAACCCUCGAAUGCCGGUGGAUACUGUCGGGCUAGAGUGCGGAAGAGGCGAGUGGAAUUCCUGGUGUAGCGGUGAAAUGCGUAGAGAUCAGGAAGAACACCGGUGGCGAAAGCGCUCUGCUAGGCCGCAACUGACACUGAGGGACGAAAGCGAGGGGAGCGAAUGGG